Molecule: non-coding RNA, 134 nt
Organism: Triticum aestivum (bread wheat)
Lineage: Eukaryota; Viridiplantae; Streptophyta; Magnoliopsida; Poales; Poaceae
Source: Rfam
CUCCUGUCACACCGCCCCAAAAUUCUUGUCUUACAUUUGUUUAGAUACGGAUGUAUCUAACACUAAAAUGUAACUAGAUACAUUCGUAUUUAGACAAAUUUAAGACAAGAAUUUUGGGACGGAGGGAGUACAAA